RNAcentral lists this ribosomal RNA (496 nucleotides) under uncultured bacterium. Its description in RNAcentral is "partial 16S ribosomal RNA". It matches the Rfam family "Bacterial small subunit ribosomal RNA", at positions 28 to 506 of the family's 1533-position model. The record is from RNAcentral.
GAUGAACGCUGGCGGCGUGCCUAAUACAUGCAAGUCGAGCGAACAGACGAGGAGCUUGCUCCUCUGACGUUAGCGGCGGACGGGUGAGUAACACGUGGAUAACCUACCUAUAAGACUGGGAUAACUUCGGGAAACCGGAGCUAAUACCGGAUAAUAUAUUGAACCGCAUGGUUCAAUAGUGAAAGACGGUUUUGCUGUCACUUAUAGAUGGAUCCGCGCCGCAUUAGCUAGUUGGUAAGGUAACGGCUUACCAAGGCAACGAUGCGUAGCCGACCUGAGAGGGGGAUCGGCCACACGGGAACUGAAACCCGGCCCAGACCCCUAGGGGAGGCAGCAGGGGGGAAUCUUCCGCAAGGGGGGAAAGCCUGACGGAGAAACGGCGGGGGGGGAAAGAAGGUUUUGGGGUCGUAAAACUUUUUUAUUGGGGAAAAAAAAAUGUGUAAGUAACUAUGCCCGUCUUGACGGUACCUAAACAGAAAGCCACGGCAAACUACGG